Molecule: long non-coding RNA, 779 nt
Filed under: Varroa destructor (honeybee mite)
Lineage: Eukaryota; Metazoa; Arthropoda; Arachnida; Mesostigmata; Varroidae
Description: uncharacterized LOC111251927, transcript variant X2
Source: RNAcentral
GCCUCACAUUUUCGACGCUCUCGAGUCUCGCUGGAUACUACUUGAAAACGCAAGCUCCAUAUGUCUAAUGCUAAAAUCAGCGGGCAAGGUAUUACACGGCAUGACGGUCUGAGGAAAAUGCCGAACUUGUGAUUGAUAUGGAGGAGCACGGGAAGACGUCAGAUCUACGCGAAAAUCAUAAUUCUCAAUGAGUCAGAUCGUUAAUUCCUGUUCCUGCCUGAUUGAAACAGUUAGCUUUGUCUAGCUUCGAUACAAUUGUCCCGAUGAUGUCGUAGUGAAUAACGUGCUUGACUGUCAAGCUUGUCUCGACAGAAGACCAACUCUGCUAAGGCCCUGAACGUGCACCGACACCAUUGGUGUUAAUGUCACGGGACAGACCUCGAGGCCGUCCGGUCGUGGGCCCGAAAACAACAGGCCUGUAACGCAAAAAUGAACGGGGCCUAAACACGGAGAGUAAGUUGCAUAGUCAUGUGUUUCUUACGCAGUCUCUGGAGCCAAAGCGUAGCGACCCACUUCAUGCAUCUACAGGUCAUUUCAAAUGAACGAGAGCUGAAUUUUACGUUUACUCCAGCAACUUGUGAGUGAUUCAUAAGAUAUUAUGUGUGGCCCGUGGGAUUAGUGAAUGUACGCGUAUGGAUGAUCUUCAACUGUAAAUCGGAUGUCGAUGAAGAAAAAUUUAACUAAACAAUUUUAUUAACUAUUGGAAGAUAACUAUUGUGUUCAAUAUCCAUUGCGCGCUAUAGUCUUUUGUCCUAAUUUUUAAGUGUACUUCAAGUUGC